RNAcentral lists this ribosomal RNA (1552 nucleotides) under Salmonella enterica. RNAcentral's name for it is "partial 23S ribosomal RNA". It matches the Rfam family "Bacterial large subunit ribosomal RNA", at positions 1398 to 2925 of the family's 2925-position model. Lineage: Bacteria; Pseudomonadati; Pseudomonadota; Gammaproteobacteria; Enterobacterales; Enterobacteriaceae. RNAcentral also lists the same sequence under 1 other name. The record is from RNAcentral.
GAGGCCGAAAGGCGUAGUCGAUGGGAAACGGGUUAAUAUUCCCGUACUUGGUGUUACUGCGAAGGGGGGACGGAGAAGGCUAUGUUGGCCGGGCGACGGUUGUCCCGGUUUAAGCGUGUAGGUGUGUGUUCCAGGUAAAUCCGGUUCACUUUAACACUGAGGCGUGAUGACGAGGCACUACGGUGCUGAAGCAACAAAUGCCCUGCUUCCAGGAAAAGCCUCUAAGCAUCAGGUAACAUCAAAUCGUACCCCAAACCGACACAGGUGGUCAGGUAGAGAAUACCAAGGCGCUUGAGAGAACUCGGGUGAAGGAACUAGGCAAAAUGGUGCCGUAACUUCGGGAGAAGGCACGCUGACACGUAGGUGAAGUGAUUUACUCAUGGAGCUGAAGUCAGUCGAAGAUACCAGCUGGCUGCAACUGUUUAUUAAAAACACAGCACUGUGCAAACACGAAAGUGGACGUAUACGGUGUGACGCCUGCCCGGUGCCGGAAGGUUAAUUGAUGGGGUCAGCGCAAGCGAAGCUCCUGAUCGAAGCCCCGGUAAACGGCGGCCGUAACUAUAACGGUCCUAAGGUAGCGAAAUUCCUUGUCGGGUAAGUUCCGACCUGCACGAAUGGCGUAAUGAUGGCCAGGCUGUCUCCACCCGAGACUCAGUGAAAUUGAACUCGCUGUGAAGAUGCAGUGUACCCGCGGCAAGACGGAAAGACCCCGUGAACCUUUACUAUAGCUUGACACUGAACAUUGAGCCUUGAUGUGUAGGAUAGGUGGGAGGCUUUGAAGUGUGGACGCCAGUCUGCAUGGAGCCGGCCUUGAAAUACCACCCUUUAAUGUUUGAUGUUCUAACGUGGACCCGUGAUCCGGGUUGCGGACAGUGUCUGGUGGGUAGUUUGACUGGGGCGGUCUCCUCCUAAAGAGUAACGGAGGAGCACGAAGGUUGGCUAAUCCUGGUCGGACAUCAGGAGGUUAGUGCAAUGGCAUAAGCCAGCUUGACUGCGAGCGUGACGGCGCGAGCAGGUGCGAAAGCAGGUCAUAGUGAUCCGGUGGUUCUGAAUGGAAGGGCCAUCGCUCAACGGAUAAAAGGUACUCCGGGGAUAACAGGCUGAUACCGCCCAAGAGUUCAUAUCGACGGCGGUGUUUGGCACCUCGAUGUCGGCUCAUCACAUCCUGGGGCUGAAGUAGGUCCCAAGGGUAUGGCUGUUCGCCAUUUAAAGUGGUACGCGAGCUGGGUUUAGAACGUCGUGAGACAGUUCGGUCCCUAUCUGCCGUGGGCGCUGGAGAACUGAGGGGGGCUGCUCCUAGUACGAGAGGACCGGAGUGGACGCAUCACUGGUGUUCGGGUUGUCAUGCCAAUGGCACUGCCCGGUAGCUAAAUGCGGAAGAGAUAAGUGCUGAAAGCAUCUAAGCACGAAACUUGCCCCGAGAUGAGUUCUCCCUGAGACUUUAGGUCUCCUGAAGGAACGUUGAAGACGACGACGUUGAUAGGCCGGGUGUGUAAGCGCAGCGAUGCGUUGAGCUAACCGGUACUAAUGAACCGUGAGGCUUAACCUUACA